RNAcentral lists this long non-coding RNA (240 nucleotides) under Erythranthe guttata (spotted monkey flower). Its description in RNAcentral is "long non-coding RNA (EGUT_LNC001722)". Lineage: Eukaryota; Viridiplantae; Streptophyta; Magnoliopsida; Lamiales; Phrymaceae. The record is from RNAcentral.
UUUGGCAGAGUAACAGCCAGAAAAUCCCUAAAGAAACAAACAGAACCUCGCCCAAGAAAUUAAUAAAAAUUAAAAAAAGAAAAUUAAACAGAACAACAGUAUAUAACUAAUUAGAGAACCCAAAAAAAAUUUAUGGGGAGAGAGGAGAAGAGAAAAGGAAGAGGUUAGAGAAGAAGAGAAGGGCUUGAUUUAUAGAAGGAAAAUGAGGCUAUGAAGUGAGAGAAAAUAAUAAAAUAUAAU